This 20-nucleotide non-coding RNA is filed under the name Arabidopsis thaliana (thale cress). The record is from RNAcentral. Lineage: Eukaryota; Viridiplantae; Streptophyta; Magnoliopsida; Brassicales; Brassicaceae.
CCACCGCUUGUCCUGCUCCU